CUCAUGCUGUGUGCAUGGUUGUCACCUGUGUCUGAUAGCAGUGUCUGUGUUUUGCAUUCAGAUCUUGCUAUGCACACAAACAUCGUGUAGCCAACGAGUAAGCUGGGAUCAUAGUACUGGUCUCGUGUUGUGUCUUUGGACAUACCUUCCCCUUGACAGUCUCCAAAUUCCCACACACGG
This 180-nucleotide small nucleolar RNA is filed under the name Catagonus wagneri (Chacoan peccary). RNAcentral's name for it is "Small nucleolar RNA SNORA23 (ENSCWAG00000000038.1)". It matches the Rfam family "Small nucleolar RNA SNORA23". From Rfam's summary of the family: The members of this family belong to the H/ACA class of snoRNAs which are thought to guide the sites of modification of uridines to pseudouridines. This family includes human snoRNA ACA23 (SNORA23) and mouse snoMBI-1. Lineage: Eukaryota; Metazoa; Chordata; Mammalia; Artiodactyla; Tayassuidae. The record is from Rfam by way of RNAcentral.